RNAcentral lists this long non-coding RNA (1344 nucleotides) under Heterocephalus glaber (naked mole-rat). Its description in RNAcentral is "lncRNA (ENSHGLG00100048369.1)". The record is from RNAcentral. Lineage: Eukaryota; Metazoa; Chordata; Mammalia; Rodentia; Bathyergidae.
CGUAACAGGUAUUGACAGAAAUAGAGUUAAACUCACAAACUGGUUAAAUUUCCAAUUAAUAAGAUCUAAAUUGAAUAACAGAAGUCAAUCUCUGAUUUAGAUACUCACAUUUGUAUAAAACAAAGGUUAAAGGGGUUUAAAGGGAAUAGAAACUCUUUUAUCCUUAGGUCUCUAUGCCACCAAGGGAUUCAAUGUAAUACAUAAUUUGAAGCUGAUUUUAGUUCCUGAUCCCAACAUCCCGUGGAAAGAAAAAUCAUUCUGCAUGAAUGUUAUUGACUAUUUCUCAAUUUGGUAAAAUUUGAGGAAUUUAAGUGAAUAAAAUUAACAAAGGGUAAGAAAAAUUACAAAUUGGGGUGGUAUGCUUCUGCCACCCCUUCUCUCACAUACCAUCCCGUACAUACUAAAACAGAGGCAAGAAUAUUGACAGUAAUGACUUGAAACUUUGACAACCUGUGAAAAAUAAAUCUUACUUGUAUAUUCUAAGUACACUUUGGGCCAGAUGUAAAUUGUAUUAGUUGAAUUUCAUGAUUUGCUUGUUCCCUUACUCCUUUGCAAAAACAGUUUUGGCUUCACUUUUCCAAAUGUACGGCUCUCCCUGUUUAUCUUCCAUCUUCAAAACAUUUCCUCCUAGUGCACCAGGGAUUGUGAUCAGAGAUCCUUCAUUGUAUUGCUGCCAGUAAACUGCUUCGUAUUUAGGGAAUAAACAUGGAGUAAAAGAUAACAAGGAAUUGUAGCUAGGGUUCAAAUAAGAAAUAGGGAAAUUCUGUUGAAAAUCAACUCCAUUGUUUCUUGUAAUAAUUACUUCUUGCCCCAACAAAUUACAAUAGUAUGGAUGAUGCACCAGCUAAUAAAAUUUUCAUAGUAGAACUGUUAUUUAUGUAGGGAUUCAUGUUACACUGGACUUUCACUUGGUUAAAAAAAGAUUUUGGGGGCUGGAGAUUCAGCUCAGUGGUGCUGCCGCCUGUCUCGCAAGCGCAAGGUCCGGAGUUUGAUCCCUGGUACCAAAAAAAAAAAAAAAAAUCCGAUUUUUACUUCAAUCAGUAUAGCUAUCAGUAGGAAAAAGAAAAUUUUAAUUGUGUUAUUUUGUCAAGGGCUGAAAGCCUUAGGACAUGUAAUUUUGGCGUUGCAUUUCUGCUAGCAUUUUGAUUAAAUUGAAACUAGGUAAUUAGUGGUGCCUGUUUUGAUUAACAAGGUAAGUGGAAUUAAGAAUAAAAAGCCCUGGGAAAGGGGGGAAAAAAACACAUGAAAGAGUUUCAACAUUUUCAUAGUUGUUUUUUUUUUUAAAGAAAAAUGUAUAAAUACAAGCUACAAAUUACAAUAUUUAGAUUCCUUAUUAAAGAUAAG